GGAAAUGGCAUUUUAGAGACUCUAAAUUUAAAAAUUUCCUCGGGCCUUCGGCCCUCACUUUCAGCCCCCCCAAUCGAAAAGAGCUUCCUACGGCCCUGGCUAAAUAGAAAAUAUUCCAAUGUUCCUGUUAUCCUGUAUCGGAAUGCAGUUAGGUCAGAAAUCACGUUAAAUCACGUCGCUGAUAAAAAUGUGUACAAUAACCGUGUAACUCGUAUACGGGGAAAGUCAUAAAAACGUCUUACAAGGUCGUUUAAUAAAUAUAUACUGCAGUACAGUAUAUAAUUUAAAAAAUAGUCCUAAAGAGAUUUGUGAAAAGGUGAACUUUAUGAAUGUUAUGCACAAACAUGUAGUUUUUACAUAUUAAAUUAUUUUAUUGUGGAGGAAAUAUUAAGUUUAUAGUAUAAUGGAUAUAAGAGUUAUUGCAGCAAGUCAACGCAGUUGUACGAAGACGAAGUUCUAUAUUUAAACUGUGCAAAAGUCCAUUAAAACACAGAAAAUUUACACAUAUACCAACGCUUAUUAUUAUUAAGUAAGAGCAAAAAAUC
Molecule: non-coding RNA, 545 nt
Organism: Paramuricea clavata
Lineage: Eukaryota; Metazoa; Cnidaria; Anthozoa; Malacalcyonacea; Plexauridae
Source: the annotation of a GenBank genome assembly